Molecule: ribosomal RNA, 2900 nt
Filed under: Cronobacter sakazakii
Lineage: Bacteria; Pseudomonadati; Pseudomonadota; Gammaproteobacteria; Enterobacterales; Enterobacteriaceae
Description: bacterial LSU rRNA
Rfam family: Bacterial large subunit ribosomal RNA
Source: RNAcentral
UUAAGCGAACAAGCGUACACGGUGGAUGCCCUGGCAGUCAGAGGCGAUGAAGGACGUGCUAAUCUGCGAAAAGCGCCGGUAAGGUGAUAUGAACCGUUAUAACCGGCGAUGUCCGAAUGGGGAAACCCGGUGCACUUCGGUGCAUCAUCGUUAGCUGAAUACAUAGGCUAACGAGGCGAACCGGGGGAACUGAAACAUCUAAGUACCCCGAGGAAAAGAAAUCAACCGAGAUUCCCCCAGUAGCGGCGAGCGAACGGGGAACAGCCCAGAGCCUGAAUCAGCUUGUGUGUCAGUGGAACGGUCUGGAAAGGCCGGCGAUACAGGGUGACAGCCCCGUACACGAAGGCACACAGGCUGUGAGCUCGAUGAGUAGGGCGGGACACGUGAUAUCCUGUCUGAAGAUGGGGGGACCAUCCUCCAAGGCUAAAUACUCCUGACUGACCGAUAGUGAACCAGUACCGUGAGGGAAAGGCGAAAAGAACCCCGGCGAGGGGAGUGAAACAGAACCUGAAACCGUGUACGUACAAGCAGUGGGAGCCUUCGUAAGAGGGUGACUGCGUACCUUUUGUAUAAUGGGUCAGCGACUUAUAUUCUGUAGCAAGGUUAACCGUAUAGGGGAGCCGAAGGGAAACCGAGUCUUAAUUGGGCGUUAAGUUGCAGGGUAUAGACCCGAAACCCGGUGAUCUAGCCAUGGGCAGGUUGAAGGUUGGGUAACACUAACUGGAGGACCGAACCGACUAAUGUUGAAAAAUUAGCGGAUGACCUGUGGCUGGGGGUGAAAGGCCAAUCAAACCGGGAGAUAGCUGGUUCUCCCCGAAAGCUAUUUAGGUAGCGCCUCGUGAAUUCAUCUCCGGGGGUAGAGCACUGUUUCGGCUAGGGGGCCAUCCCGGCUUACCAACCCGAUGCAAACUGCGAAUACCGGAGAAUGUUAUCACGGGAGACACACGGCGGGUGCUAACGUCCGUCGUGAAGAGGGAAACAACCCAGACCGCCAGCUAAGGUCCCAAAGUUAUGGUUAAGUGGGAAACGAUGUGGGAAGGCCCAGACAGCCAGGAUGUUGGCUUAGAAGCAGCCAUCAUUUAAAGAAAGCGUAAUAGCUCACUGGUCGAGUCGGCCUGCGCGGAAGAUGUAACGGGGCUAAACCAUGCACCGAAGCUGCGGCAGCGACACUAUGUGUUGUUGGGUAGGGGAGCGUUCUGUAAGCCUGUGAAGGUGUGCUGUGAGGCAUGCUGGAGGUAUCAGAAGUGCGAAUGCUGACAUAAGUAACGAUAAAGCGGGUGAAAAGCCCGCUCGCCGGAAGACCAAGGGUUCCUGUCCAACGUUAAUCGGGGCAGGGUGAGUCGACCCCUAAGGCGAGGCCGAAAGGCGUAGUCGAUGGGAAACAGGUUAAUAUUCCUGUACUUGGUGUUACUGCGAAGGGGGGACGGAGAAGGCUAUGUCGGCCGGGCGACGGUUGUCCCGGUUUAAGCGUGUAGGCUGACUUUCCAGGCAAAUCCGGAAGGUUAAGGCUGAGGCGUGAUGACGAGGCACCACGGUGCUGAAGUGACAAAUGCCCUGCUUCCAGGAAAAGCCUCUAAGCAUCAGGUAACAUCAAAUCGUACCCCAAACCGACACAGGUGGUCAGGUAGAGAAUACCAAGGCGCUUGAGAGAACUCGGGUGAAGGAACUAGGCAAAAUGGUGCCGUAACUUCGGGAGAAGGCACGCUGACAUGUAGGUGAAGCCCCUGCGGGUGGAGCUGAAGUCAGUCGAAGAUACCAGCUGGCUGCAACUGUUUAUUAAAAACACAGCACUGUGCAAACACGAAAGUGGACGUAUACGGUGUGACGCCUGCCCGGUGCCGGAAGGUUAAUUGAUGGGGUUAUCGCAAGAGAAGCUCCUGAUCGAAGCCCCGGUAAACGGCGGCCGUAACUAUAACGGUCCUAAGGUAGCGAAAUUCCUUGUCGGGUAAGUUCCGACCUGCACGAAUGGCGUAAUGAUGGCCAGGCUGUCUCCACCCGAGACUCAGUGAAAUUGAACUCGCUGUGAAGAUGCAGUGUACCCGCGGCAAGACGGAAAGACCCCGUGAACCUUUACUACAGCUUGACACUGAACAUUGAGCCUUGAUGUGUAGGAUAGGUGGGAGGCUUUGAAGCGUGGACGCCAGUCUGCGUGGAGCCGACCUUGAAAUACCACCCUUUAAUGUUUGAUGUUCUAACCUGGCGCCGUGAUCCGGCGUGGGGACAGUGUCUGGUGGGUAGUUUGACUGGGGCGGUCUCCUCCCAAAGUGUAACGGAGGAGCACGAAGGUCAGCUAAUCCUGGUCGGACAUCAGGAGGUUAGUGCAAUGGCAUAAGCUGGCUUGACUGCGAGAGUGACGGCUCGAGCAGGUGCGAAAGCAGGUCAUAGUGAUCCGGUGGUUCUGUAUGGAAGGGCCAUCGCUCAACGGAUAAAAGGUACUCCGGGGAUAACAGGCUGAUACCGCCCAAGAGUUCAUAUCGACGGCGGUGUUUGGCACCUCGAUGUCGGCUCAUCACAUCCUGGGGCUGAAGUAGGUCCCAAGGGUAUGGCUGUUCGCCAUUUAAAGUGGUACGCGAGCUGGGUUUAGAACGUCGUGAGACAGUUCGGUCCCUAUCUGCCGUGGGCGCUGGAGAAUUGAGGGGGGCUGCUCCCAGUACGAGAGGACCGGAGUGGACGCAUCACUGGUGUUCGGGUUGUCAUGCCAAUGGCACUGCCCGGUAGCUAAAUGCGGAAGAGAUAAGUGCUGAAAGCAUCUAAGCACGAAACUUGCCCCGAGAUGAGUUCUCCCUGAGACUGUAAGUCUCCUGAAGGAACGUUGAAGACGACGACGUUGAUAGGCCGGGUGUGUAAGCGCAGCGAUGCGUUGAGCUAACCGGUACUAAUGAACCGUGAGGCUUAACCUU